RNAcentral lists this non-coding RNA (19 nucleotides) under Arabidopsis thaliana (thale cress). Lineage: Eukaryota; Viridiplantae; Streptophyta; Magnoliopsida; Brassicales; Brassicaceae. The record is from RNAcentral. RNAcentral also lists the same sequence under 1 other name.
UGACAGAAGAGAGUGAGCA